UAGGGAAUCUUCCGCAAUGGGCGAAAGCUUGACGGAGCAACGCCGCGUGAGUUAUGAGGGUCUUCGGAUCGUAAAACUCUGUUAUUAGGGAAGAACAAAUGUGUAAGUAACUAUGCACGUCUUGACGGUACCUAAUCAGAAAGCCACGGCUAACUACGUGCCAGCAGCCGCGGUAAUACGUAGGUGGCAAGCGUUAUCCGGAAUUAUUGGGCGUAAAGCGCGCGUAGGCGGUUUUUUAAGUCUGAUGUGAAAGCCCACGGCUCAACCGUGGAGGGUCAUUUGAAACUGGAAAACUUGAGUGCAGAAGAGGAAAGUGGACUUCCAUGUGUAGCGGUGAAAUGCGCAGAGAUAUGGAGGAACACCAGUGGCGAAGGCGACUUUCUGGUCUGUAACUGACGCUGAUGUGCGAAAGCGUGGGGAUCAAACAGG
RNAcentral lists this ribosomal RNA (429 nucleotides) under Actinomycetes bacterium. RNAcentral's name for it is "Actinobacteria bacterium partial 16S ribosomal RNA". It matches the Rfam family "Bacterial small subunit ribosomal RNA", at positions 355 to 776 of the family's 1533-position model. Lineage: Bacteria; Bacillati; Actinomycetota; Actinomycetes. The record is from RNAcentral.